RNAcentral lists this ribosomal RNA (382 nucleotides) under uncultured eukaryote. RNAcentral describes it as "partial 18S ribosomal RNA". It matches the Rfam family "Eukaryotic small subunit ribosomal RNA", at positions 592 to 976 of the family's 1831-position model. The record is from RNAcentral.
UGUAAGCGUAUACCAAAGUUGUUGCAGUUAAAACGCUCGUAGCCGGAAUUUGGCAGUUCCGGAUGUGUGCACGUCGUGUGCGCACUUCGCGGGGAUUGCUUUUGUGGUCUUGCGUAGGAUGAGGCACUUUUAUUAGUGAACGUCCUCACGCAACCACUUUUUACUGUGAGAAAAUCAGAGUGCUCAAAGCAGGCAUUUGCCGUGAAUGUAUUAGCAUGGAAUAAUAGAAUAGGACUUGGUUCUAUUUUGUUGGUUUGUUGGGACUGAGUAAUGAUUAAGAGGGACAGUUGGGGGCAUUUGUAUUUCGGUGCUAGAGGUGAAAUUCUUAGAUUACCGAAAGACAAACUGCUGCGAAAGCGUCUGCCAAGGAUGUUUCCAUUGA